This 366-nucleotide long non-coding RNA is filed under the name Musa acuminata (dwarf banana). Its description in RNAcentral is "long non-coding RNA (MACU_LNC002478)". Lineage: Eukaryota; Viridiplantae; Streptophyta; Magnoliopsida; Zingiberales; Musaceae. The record is from RNAcentral.
GAAGAUCGAGAACUAGCACCACCGACCCACAUGGUCAUCACGCCAAGUGAUCAAGAAAUCUUCGCACCAAUAAAGAACAAGUAGGAAGAGGGAGGGAAUUAUGGACGAUGCGUGGGGGGUUACUGACCUCGGAGAGGGUGAGGCCGAGGUCGGCGAUGAUGUCAUCCUGGGUGGGGGAGGAGUAGCCGCCGGUGAAGCCGAACUGGAUGGGGCCGAGGGCGACGAUGAGGGUGCAGAGGACGACGGAGAUGGAGGAGUCGCGGAUGACGGAGGCGGAGGAUGCCAUGAGGCUGGAUUGGCGCGACCCCAUCCCCAUCCGGUACCAGCUCCCCGUGUGGAGGAACGGCUUCCUGAGGUCGCCUCGCC